CGCUGGCGGCGUGCCUAAUACAUGCAAGUCGAACGAGUUCUGAUUAUUGAAAGGUGCUUGCAUCUUGAUUUAAUUUUGAACGAGUGGCGGACGGGUGAGUAACACGUGGGUAACCUGCCCAUAAGUGGGGGAUAACAUUUGGAAACAGAUGCUAAUACCGCAUAAAUCCAAGAACCGCAUGGUUCUUGGCUGAAAGAUGGCGUAAGCUAUCGCUUUUGGAUGGACCCGCGGCGUAUUAGCUAGUUGGUGAGGUAACGGCUCACCAAGGCAAUGAUACGUAGCCGAACUGAGAGGUUGAUCGGCCACAUUGGGACUGAGACACGGCCCAAACUCCUACGGGAGGCAGCAGUAGGGAAUCUUCCACAAUGGACGCAAGUCUGAUGGAGCAACGCCGCGUGAGUGAAGAAGGCUUUCGGGUCGUAAAACUCUGUUGUUGGAGAAGAAUGGUCGGCAGAGUAACUGUUGUCGGCGUGACGGUAUCCAACCAGAAAGCCACGGCUAACUACGUGCCAGCAGCCGCGGUAAUACGUAGGUGGCAAGCGUUAUCCGGAUUUAUUGGGCGUAAAGCGAGCGCAGGCGGUUUUUUAAGUCUGAUGUGAAAGCCCUCGGCUUAACCGAGGAAGUGCAUCGGAAACUGGGAAACUUGAGUGCAGAAGAGGACAGUGGAACUCCAUGUGUAGCGGUGAAAUGCGUAGAUAUAUGGAAGAACACCAGUGGCGAAGGCGGCUGUCUGGUCUGUAACUGACGCUGAGGCUCGAAAGCAUGGGUAGCGAACAGGAUUAGAUACCCUGGUAGUCCAUGCCGUAAACGAUGAAUGCUAGGUGUUGGAGGGUUUCCGCCCUUCAGUGCCGCAGCUAACGCAUUAAGCAUUCCGCCUGGGGAGUACGACCGCAAGGUUGAAACUCAAAGGAAUUGACGGGGGCCCGCACAAGCGGUGGAGCAUGUGGUUUAAUUCGAAGCAACGCGAAGAACCUUACCAGGUCUUGACAUCUUUUGAUCACCUGAGAGAUCAGGUUUCCCCUUCGGGGGCAAAAUGACAGGUGGUGCAUGGUUGUCGUCAGCUCGUGUCGUGAGAUGUUGGGUUAAGUCCCGCAACGAGCGCAACCCUUAUGACUAGUUGCCAGCAUUUAGUUGGGCACUCUAGUAAGACUGCCGGUGACAAACCGGAGGAAGGUGGGGAUGACGUCAAAUCAUCAUGCCCCUUAUGACCUGGGCUACACACGUGCUGCAAUGGAUGGUACAACGAGUUGCGAGACCGCGAGGUCAAGCUAAUCUCUUAAAGCCAUUCUCAGUUCGGACUGUAGGCUGCAACUCGCCUACACGAAGUCGGAAUCGCUAGUAAUCGCGGAUCAGCACGCCGCGGUGAAUACGUUCCCGGGCCUUGUACACACCGCCCGUCACACCAUGAGAGUUUGUAACACCCGAAGCCGGUGGCGUAACCCUUUUAGGGAGCGAGCCGUCUAAGGUGGGACAAAAAAU
Molecule: ribosomal RNA, 1479 nt
Filed under: uncultured organism
Description: SSU rRNA
Rfam family: Bacterial small subunit ribosomal RNA
Source: RNAcentral